Molecule: transfer RNA, 75 nt
Filed under: Hyphomicrobiaceae bacterium
Lineage: Bacteria; Pseudomonadati; Pseudomonadota; Alphaproteobacteria; Hyphomicrobiales; Hyphomicrobiaceae
Description: tRNA-Val
Rfam family: tRNA
About the family: Transfer RNA (tRNA) molecules are approximately 80 nucleotides in length. Their secondary structure includes four short double-helical elements and three loops (D, anti-codon, and T loops).
Source: RNAcentral
GGGCGGUUAGCUCAGCGGUAGAGCACUACCUUGACAUGGUAGGGGUCACUGGUUCAAUCCCAGUACCGCCCACCA